Esox lucius (northern pike) is the source of this 130-nucleotide long non-coding RNA. RefSeq lists it as uncharacterized. The transcript has 3 exons. The record is from RefSeq and is a predicted model, not a curated record. Lineage: Eukaryota; Metazoa; Chordata; Actinopteri; Esociformes; Esocidae.
CCCAUAUCCACAGCAGGUCUCCAAGGUAAACAGCCUCUGGCAUGUUAUAACAAUGCAGGUAAGGGAAGUCGGCAAAUCAGAUCCGUAACUUCGGGAUAAGGAUUGGCUCUAAGGGCUGGAUUGGUCGGGC